UGCUGAUGGUCCAUGCUGUCAUUCACAUCGUC
RNAcentral lists this non-coding RNA (32 nucleotides) under Homo sapiens (human). The record is from RNAcentral. Lineage: Eukaryota; Metazoa; Chordata; Mammalia; Primates; Hominidae.